CGCAGCUUCGUGAUUUCACCUCUGCAGUGUUCCCCCCACCAUUAUUCCGCCACCUCAAUCAGAGGAUGAACAGAGGCCUAGUGAAGAUGGGCAGCGUCUAGGAGGACUGCAGAAGGAGCAAUCAGAACAAAAGACAACAAAGCAAAAUGGUCUGGCAUCCACUCAAAUCAAAGUUCCUAGGGGACACAUUUGGAAGCUGUCUUGGGAUUGCAUCACCUUGCAUCCCGUGCUCUGGUGAAUGGCUGGAGCCUCCUGCACACACCUGCAUGGCGUGGAGCACUGGAGAGACUAUUUACUUUUUUUCCCCCAAAUGAUUCAGGAGUUAUACUCCUUUGUAGUUACUCUUUUAAUAUUCUUUCAUUGUCAACACAAAGCUGAUUUUUCAACAUGCACAAGGUAUGUGUGAAAAAGUUGGCAACAAUUUCACAUGUUCCAUUACCACCACCUGCAGGACUGAAAUAUAGCUGCAUAAAAAGUGUGAGCUUUAUUAGUUUAUAUUUUCAUUUAUAAGCCUCACAGAAUUCGUCAACAAUAGUAUCAAGUCUCUCAAAAUGCACUAUUUCAUAUACACUUUUUCACCCACAAUUGUUGAGAAAAGGUGAAUGUUAUUUUUGACAGAUGUAUUCUAUUUCUACAGUUUUUUAAUAGUAUGAGUGUUUUAUAUUUUUUUUCUCAUCAUAGCAAAGAUCAGAACUAAUUAAAUAAAAUAAUAAUCAUUGAA
Long non-coding RNA from Syngnathoides biaculeatus (alligator pipefish), 721 nucleotides. RefSeq lists it as uncharacterized. The transcript is spliced from 3 exons. NCBI's taxonomy places the organism in Eukaryota, Metazoa, Chordata, Actinopteri, Syngnathiformes, Syngnathidae. The record is from RefSeq and is a predicted model, not a curated record.